ACUUCACCACAACACAGGAGUUCAUUAGAAGAUGAAACAAUUUAUGAUGAAAAAUAUUAAAAUAAUUUUUAUUAAUUUAUAAUUCAUAUACUAAUACAAGAAAGAGCACAACCAUCAAUAGACUGACGAUUGGCUUUGGGACACUAUUCUCAAUAGUCUUUGUGUGGAUACCUGUUGAGAUCGGGUGCAUGUGCGGCUAAAGGAACCUGUUCAGAUCCAUGAUCAUCGACUGCGGUGUAGAUCGAUAUGUGCAAAAGUAUUGAGAUUCGAUCUCAAUAAUUUUUUUUUAUUUUUAGAUUAUAUGCAUUUUAUAGAUCCAGAAGCUUGGGUAGUAUAGAUUAGAUCUAUUGCAUGUGAGAUUAAAGGGAUUUCACCUAGAUCUAUUUUUUGUUGCAAUCAAAAAUCUUUUUGAAAUUCAUACAUGCAAUCUAUCCGAUUUUUUAACAAUUGUAGGAGGGAUUCCAACGAUGAAGGAAGGUCCACAAGGAGAAGGAUAGAAGAGCCAAUCAUUUUUACUAAAGAGGAUGC
Molecule: long non-coding RNA, 528 nt
Filed under: Elaeis guineensis (African oil palm)
Lineage: Eukaryota; Viridiplantae; Streptophyta; Magnoliopsida; Arecales; Arecaceae
Description: long non-coding RNA (EGUI_LNC046476)
Source: RNAcentral